RNAcentral lists this ribosomal RNA (401 nucleotides) under uncultured bacterium. RNAcentral describes it as "bacterial SSU rRNA". It matches the Rfam family "Bacterial small subunit ribosomal RNA", at positions 356 to 773 of the family's 1533-position model. The record is from RNAcentral.
GGGGAAUAUUGCACAAUGGGCGAAAGCCUGAUGCAGCAACGCCGCGUGAGGGAAGACGGUUUUCGGAUUGUAAACCUCUGUCUUUGGUGACGAAAAAUGACGGUAACCAAGGAGGAAGCCACGGCUAACUACGUGCCAGCAGCCGCGGUAAUACGUAGGUGGCGAGCGUUAUCCGGAAUUACUGGGUGUAAAGGGAGCGCAGGCGGGAUAGCAAGUCAGCGGUGAAAAUUAUGGGCUUAACUCAUAAAAUGCCGUUGAAACUGUUAUUCUUGAGUGGAGUAGAGGCAGGCGGAAUUCCGAGUGUAGCGGUGAAAUGCGUAGAUAUUCGGAGGAACACCAGUGGCGAAGGCGGCCUGCUGGGCUCUAACUGACGCUGAGGCUCGAAAGUGUGGGGAGCAAAC